UACGGAGGGUGCAAGCGUUAUCCGGAUUUACUGGGUUUAAAGGGUGCGUAGGUGGGUAGAUAAGUCAGUGGUGAAAUCUCCGAGCUUAACUCGGAAACUGCCAUUGAUACUAUUUAUCUUGAAUAUCCUGGAGGUGAGCGGAAUAUGUCAUGUAGCGGUGAAAUGCUUAGAUAUGACAUAGAACACCAAUUGCGAAGGCAACUCACUACGGGGUCAUUGACACUGAGGCACGAAAGCGUGGGGAUCAAACAGG
RNAcentral lists this ribosomal RNA (253 nucleotides) under uncultured bacterium. Its description in RNAcentral is "partial 16S ribosomal RNA". It matches the Rfam family "Bacterial small subunit ribosomal RNA", at positions 524 to 776 of the family's 1533-position model. The record is from RNAcentral.